RNAcentral lists this long non-coding RNA (563 nucleotides) under Pogona vitticeps (central bearded dragon). Its description in RNAcentral is "lncRNA (ENSPVIG00000007742.1)". Lineage: Eukaryota; Metazoa; Chordata; Lepidosauria; Squamata; Agamidae. The record is from RNAcentral.
GUUUGAUUUAACAUGAAGGUGAGGGAUGUAGAUGGAGGGCCCAGAGCCCAAGGCCAAGACAAGUGGCCAAGAACAUUCUUUGCUCAAGAAUCCAGUCCCUGCUCCCAGAAAGACACAAUGAGUGUUCCAAACGAGUGGAUGCGAUAAGAAAAUGUGGCUACUCACGUCCAGCCAUGAAGCAUUCAUUCCUCAUUUUUGCCUUUGUCUUUCAGCGGUGGGCUUCAAUUGCUACAAGACUGAUGUGAGGUUCCCAACCAUCAUCAAAACAGUCGCUGCUCGUAGGACGGAAGUCUGUGCCUCAAUAUUUUUGUACUUGCGUUAUAAUGGCAGAGAUAUAGAAAGAAAUGUUGUUACAGCUUUGGAUGCUGUUGAAAGAUGCAAUGUACAGGAAGUAAAUGGCUCUAUAUAUCCUACUCUGUGCUGCGCAACUGAUCUCUGUAAUGCUAAAAGACCGUGACAAGAUAUUUCUGGUUUCAACCUGUGAUUAACCACCAGAACCAUCUCCUUUCAUAAAGCCUGAUGUAUAAUUCCACAGACAAAUAAUAAAGGAGCAUUCAAAUCCA